RNAcentral lists this ribosomal RNA (2647 nucleotides) under Shigella flexneri. Its description in RNAcentral is "partial 23S ribosomal RNA". It matches the Rfam family "Bacterial large subunit ribosomal RNA". Lineage: Bacteria; Pseudomonadati; Pseudomonadota; Gammaproteobacteria; Enterobacterales; Enterobacteriaceae. The record is from RNAcentral.
CCAUAGGUUAAUGAGGCGAACCGGGGGAACUGAAACAUCUAAGUACCCCGAGGAAAAGAAAUCAACCGAGAUUCCCCCAGUAGCGGCGAGCGAACGGGGAGCAGCCCAGAGCCUGAAUCAGUGUGUGUGUUAGUGGAAGCGUCUGGAAAGGCGCGCGAUACAGGGUGACAGCCCCGUACACAAAAAUGCACAUGCUGUGAGCUCGAUGAGUAGGGCGGGACACGUGGUAUCCUGUCUGAAUAUGGGGGGACCAUCCUCCAAGGCUAAAUACUCCUGACUGACCGAUAGUGAACCAGUACCGUGAGGGAAAGGCGAAAAGAACCCCGGCGAGGGGAGUGAAAAAGAACCUGAAACCGUGUACGUACAAGCAGUGGGAGCACGCUUAGGCGUGUGACUGCGUACCUUUUGUAUAAUGGGUCAGCGACUUAUAUUCUGUAGCAAGGUUAACCGAAUAGGGGAGCCGAAGGGAAACCGAGUCUUAACUGGGCGUUAAGUUGCAGGGUAUAGACCCGAAACCCGGUGAUCUAGCCAUGGGCAGGUUGAAGGUUGGGUAACACUAACUGGAGGACCGAACCGACUAAUGUUGAAAAAUUAGCGGAUGACUUGUGGCUGGGGGUGAAAGGCCAAUCAAACCGGGAGAUAGCUGGUUCUCCCCGAAAGCUAUUUAGGUAGCGCCUCGUGAAUUCAUCUCCGGGGGUAGAGCACUGUUUCGGCAAGGGGGUCAUCCCGACUUACCAACCCGAUGCAAACUGCGAAUACCGGAGAAUGUUAUCACGGGAGACACACGGCGGGUGCUAACGUCCGUCGUGAAGAGGGAAACAACCCAGACCGCCAGCUAAGGUCCCAAAGUCAUGGUUAAGUGGGAAACGAUGUGGGAAGGCCCAGACAGCCAGGAUGUUGGCUUAGAAGCAGCCAUCAUUUAAAGAAAGCGUAAUAGCUCACUGGUCGAGUCGGCCUGCGCGGAAGAUGUAACGGGGCUAAACCAUGCACCGAAGCUGCGGCAGCGACGCUUAUGCGUUGUUGGGUAGGGGAGCGUUCUGUAAGCCUGUGAAGGUGUACUGUGAGGUAUGCUGGAGGUAUCAGAAGUGCGAAUGCUGACAUAAGUAACGAUAAAGCGGGUGAAAAGCCCGCUCGCCGGAAGACCAAGGGUUCCUGUCCAACGUUAAUCGGGGCAGGGUGAGUCGACCCCUAAGGCGAGGCCGAAAGGCGUAGUCGAUGGGAAACAGGUUAAUAUUCCUGUACUUGGUGUUACUGCGAAGGGGGGACGGAGAAGGCUAUGUUGGCCGGGCGACGGUUGUCCCGGUUUAAGCGUGUAGGCUGGUUUUCCAGGCAAAUCCGGAAAAUCAAGGCCGAGGCGUGAUGACGAGGCACUACGGUGCUGAAGCAACAAAUGCCCUGCUUCCAGGAAAAGCCUCUAAGCAUCAGGUAACAUCAAAUCGUACCCCAAACCGACACAGGUGGUCAGGUAGAGAAUACCAAGGCGCUUGAGAGAACUCGGGUGAAGGAACUAGGCAAAAUGGUGCCGUAACUUCGGGAGAAGGCACGCUGAUACGUAGGUGAAGCGACUUGCUCGUGGAGCUGAAAUCAGUCGAAGAUACCAGCUGGCUGCAACUGUUUAUUAAAAACACAGCACUGUGCAAACACGAAAGUGGACGUAUACGGUGUGACGCCUGCCCGGUGCCGGAAGGUUAAUUGAUGGGGUUAGCGCAAGCGAAGCUCUUGAUCGAAGCCCCGGUAAACGGCGGCCGUAACUAUAACGGUCCUAAGGUAGCGAAAUUCCUUGUCGGGUAAGUUCCGACCUGCACGAAUGGCGUAAUGAUGGCCAGGCUGUCUCCACCCGAGACUCAGUGAAAUUGAACUCGCUGUGAAGAUGCAGUGUACCCGCGGCAAGACGGAAAGACCCCGUGAACCUUUACUAUAGCUUGACACUGAACAUUGAGCCUUGAUGUGUAGGAUAGGUGGGAGGCUUUGAAGUGUGGACGCCAGUCUGCAUGGAGCCGACCUUGAAAUACCACCCUUUAAUGUUUGAUGUUCUAACGUGGACCCGUGAUCCGGGUUGCGGACAGUGUCUGGUGGGUAGUUUGACUGGGGCGGUCUCCUCCUAAAGAGUAACGGAGGAGCACGAAGGUUGGCUAAUCCUGGUCGGACAUCAGGAGGUUAGUGCAAUGGCAUAAGCCAGCUUGACUGCGAGCGUGACGGCGCGAGCAGGUGCGAAAGCAGGUCAUAGUGAUCCGGUGGUUCUGAAUGGAAGGGCCAUCGCUCAACGGAUAAAAGGUACUCCGGGGAUAACAGGCUGAUACCGCCCAAGAGUUCAUAUCGACGGCGGUGUUUGGCACCUCGAUGUCGGCUCAUCACAUCCUGGGGCUGAAGUAGGUCCCAAGGGUAUGGCUGUUCGCCAUUUAAAGUGGUACGCGAGCUGGGUUUAGAACGUCGUGAGACAGUUCGGUCCCUAUCUGCCGUGGGCGCUGGAGAACUGAGGGGGGCUGCUCCUAGUACGAGAGGACCGGAGUGGACGCAUCACUGGUGUUCGGGUUGUCAUGCCAAUGGCACUGCCCGGUAGCUAAAUGCGGAAGAGAUAAGUGCUGAAAGCAUCUAAGCACGAAACUUGCCCCGAGAUGAGUUCUCCCUGACCCUUUAAGGGUCCUGA